Myotis daubentonii (Daubenton's bat) is the source of this 3888-nucleotide long non-coding RNA. RefSeq lists it as uncharacterized. The transcript is spliced from 2 exons. The record is from RefSeq and is a predicted model, not a curated record. Lineage: Eukaryota; Metazoa; Chordata; Mammalia; Chiroptera; Vespertilionidae.
CGGGUCUAGAAAGUAAGUUUGCAAAUGUUAUUACUUAUGAGGGUUUAAUGAAGUGACAGUUCAAAAUAUUCAUAUUAAUCAGAAAUUAACACAAGAUGCUUUUAUAAAACUUUUUUCUAUACUCUAGUAACAACAAUCUUUCCAUGUAAGAUUAUUUUGUACUCCACAUUAGAAUGUACUGAAAGUGCAGUUGUUAAGUAAGAAAUAUAUGCUUUAAAAUAAUAUAGCUCAAGUUCCCAGCAUAGUACUUGGCUAUUCUGAUUUAUGUUAAUCUCUCUUUUUGUCCUUUUCCACAAAAGGAAGUAUGGGAAAGGAGGCUCUUAGAAAUUCCAUUGGGUCUGAAGUUGACCCAAGAAAUACAUACUUCCCAGGUAAUCCAGGUGAUUCAGAUGUAAGACAAUAUUUAGGAACCAAAGCAUCACCUCAUUUUGAUUUGAAAUUCCUCUACUUAACGUUUACUUUUGGGAAGAAGCAAAUGGAAAUAAAUCUUGGUUUAAUUACAGAAUUAUUUUUAGAAUAUGCCUAAGAAAUAUGGAAGUUCCCAUAUUUCCUGACAAUUCUUACCCUUUAACAUGAGCCCUAAAUCCUUGGAUUUACUGUAGAUACCCACAAUCAGCUCCAAACGCAGUAAGAAAUCUUUUCCAUAAUCUGAAACAAAAAUUCAGAUAUAGCCUUGGCCUGUUUUGUUCAGUAGUUAGAGGUCGGUCCUUGGACUGAAGGGUCAUGGGUUCCAUUCUGGUCAAGGGCACAUACCUCAGUUGCAGGCUCCAUCCCUGGCCCUGAGUCAGGGUGCAUGUGGGAGGCAACCAAUCGAUGUGGCUCUCUCACAUCAAUGUUUCUCUCUCUCUGUCUCUCCCCCUUCCUUCAACUCUCUCUAAAAAUCAAUGGGAAAAAAAAAUCCUCAGGUGAGGAUUCAUACACACACACACACACAAUCAGAUACAAUUGUGUAGUCACACCCAGGUGUAGUCAUGAUCCCAAAAUGCCUAACCUCUGACAUUCCACUUUUCCCAAUACAUUUGCUGAAUUAUUUCACAGCUAUUCUUUGUCUUCCUCCUUAGAACUUUUGGUCUCUAUCUCUCUACUUGUUUCUACUCACCCGUGUUCUCUGGUCCUUAUUUCCCUCCUGAUUUCCCUGCACCAUAUGUUACCAACACAUUGCUGGCAAAAGUUCAACAGGUGAAUUCAACAAACCUCCUGUUUUGCAAUCAUACCUAGAUUUCUGGUGUUGCUAGAGAAAACAAUACAACUAAGAGGUCUGGUAUUAUUAUUAUAAACUAGAGGCCUCGUACACGAAUUCGUGCACAGGUGGGGUCCCUCGGCCUGACCAGCGAUUGGGCCAAUCAGGGCCGUGUCAUGGGAAGUUGGCUGCCAGGGGGAUGGACCAUGGGAGUUUGGCUGUGGGAGCACACAGACAACCAGGGGGCAGCUCCAGCAUUGAGUGUCUGCCCCCUGGUGGUCAGUGUGUGUCAUAGCUACUGGCCAGUCAUCUGGUCAUAACGAUCACUUAGGCUUUUUAUAUAUGUAGAUUUAGGUUCCCUUAUCUUAGCAAGGCUCUCAACACUGCCUACCUAUAAAUGUUCCAUAGAAAACAUGUUCUAUUUUUCAGUGUCUAUGCUAAACAUUCUCCAUCUCUCUCAAUGUUUUUACUAAUUCUCAGAAACUCUAUCACUCAUAGAAAAUGAUAUCUGCUCUUAACAAAGAAACUCUGUGUCCUUCACCACUAAAUUUCCAGGCAUAACACUGUUUUCCUCUUCCCUGCCUUAAAAGAGCGACUGUUCCAAGGCCAAUCCUUGUACCUUGCUUUGAAACCCAGGGCAGGCCCUUCUAACUUGAGCUACAGAUUUUCCACCUUUCCAUUUAAGCUUUCUCUCAUUACCAGCUCCCCACAUCAGUUUCUUCCACAAAACAAAACUCAACAGAAAGCCAUCCCUUUCCUCUUUUUUUAGCAGUUCCCCUCAUCUUCUCAAUAAUCCCAUCUUCUUUUUCCACUUCAAAAACAAGCUGUCUAAUCCAAGUUACAUAUAACUGUUUGCUCACUUAUUUAUUCCCCAAAUGGCUCCAAUCUGCUUUCACCCUGCAUACGCCACAGAGACUACUUUCACCCAGAUCACUUUUCUGGCACUAAAUCCAGCAAGCGUUAACCAUCUACUUUUACUCUGCCUAAAUUCUGAGUGCGAGUGGGGAGUUGCUCAUAUUCAUCUUCUAAAAGUUUUCUACUUCCUUUCACUUUUCUAGAAAGUCCUAUCUCGCUGGGUUAUUUUUCAGUCUUCUUACUAGAUUCUUAUAUUUCUCAACCUACCCUUUAUAUGAUCCUCAUUUAAAUUUUCCACUUUCAGUUUUCCUGGGGCAAUGAUGCCCGAGUCUAGCCAUUGUCUCUUACCUCCAGAUACAAAUGACUACCCACCUGGAUGUGUUGCAGCCAAUGGAAAUUCAGCAGGUUUCAAACCAAUUUCAUCAACCCUUGGAGCCCUCUGCAGAACUCCCACUCCCCCGAGGGGUGGGGGUCCUCAACCUCUUUAUGUAAUUAAACCUCAAGGUCUAUUGAUUCUGUUUACUAUCUCUGAAGUCCAUUAAGCUCUCUGUACCCCCUACUGCUACAUGAGUAGCACAGUAACAGCACAGUAACUGGUAUCCUUUCAUCCAUUCUAAUACAUUCUCCACAUUACCAUGACACAUACAGAUGUGCAAUAAGUAUACGAUGCACACUGAUGCAUGAAUUUGCAAACAUGAUUUGUUUAAAGGAGUAAACUUAAUUUGACCUUCUCCAGACUUAACCUUUGACUGGCUUACCCCUCUAUUCAAAACCCUUAACAUCACUUCCAGUCUUGGCUCCACCUUCCACUCAGGCAGCACUCUGUGGCAGUCUUCCUCUCUAUCUCUAAGCUGUUUAGGUUCUUCAGUGCAACAUGGUUCUUGAAUCUGGGCCUUCGACUGGAGAAGUCCUGCUGGGAUGCUCUUUCACCGCCAAAUUUCUACUCAUGCUAUGAACUUCACUUUCCCCCCACCACUGCUUUUCAAGAAAGUGGAGAGAGGGGAGGGCGGUGAAACAUCAAUGUGAGAGAGACACAAGGACUGGUUGCCUCCACACACUCCCCUACCAUGGGUGGGGAGCAAACCCACAACCCAGGUACAUGCCCUUGAACAGGAAUUGAACCUGAGACCCUUCAGUGCAUGGACUGAUGCUCUAACCAUUGAGAAACACUAGCCAGAGCUGAACUUUAUUUUUAUUUACUUUUUUUGAACUUCACUUUAAAAUGACACUUUCUCAGAACUACCUUCCCUUCCUCUCAAUUCUGCUAUCUCCUUCAAACAUAUCUUGUAUUUUCCUCUCUGUAACACUGAGCACAAUGAAUAUGAUUAUUUUCCCCAUUAGAUUAUAAGGCGAAUAAAUGUUGAGGCUGUUCUUGGCUUCAUCAUCAAGGACGAUGUUUGGCAUAUAGAAGUAUUUGCAGAUCUACUAAAUCAGAAGCUCUAGAACUGCAGCCCAACAAGGAGUUAACAAGCCCUCCAGGUGAUUCCCAAUGUACACUGAAGUUUGAGAACUACUGCCAUGGAGGUCCAGGCCACGCUCACUUUUUAGCUGAGCCCAUGUUUUAACAAUUAAGAUAAUUAAAAGUUAUGAUAAAAUUUUGGAUUCGUUUGCAUAGAGAACGAUAGCAAAGGAGUACACUCUACUAGUUUACUUUUUACCAAAAAGAUUACCUUUAAAUCAAUGAGAAAGCCUUCAAAGGGUCUAUAAGGAUUGUGGACAAUAAGGUGGAAAUUAAGUUGCUGUAUAAGAAGCAGUUCAUAUUCCAAAAUCUGUUCAAGUGCCUUCUCCUGUCCAAGAGGGCUCUCCCGCAGAUUUCCAACAAACUGUAGACUAGAUACAUUGAAUUCAUCCAC